Molecule: long non-coding RNA, 4066 nt
Organism: Gasterosteus aculeatus aculeatus (three-spined stickleback)
Lineage: Eukaryota; Metazoa; Chordata; Actinopteri; Perciformes; Gasterosteidae
Source: Ensembl
GGAAUAUUUUUCCAGGAGAUAAAUAAAGUGAAAAUAUGUAAAAAGAAACAAAAAAACAAGAGGACACAAAUUUAUUUCAAAUUCCAUUGGCUUUAUUUAAUGUAUAUAUAUUUGUAUAUAUUUAUAUAUAUUUAUAUUUAUUAUAUAUAUAUAUACUUAGGUCACAACUUUUACUCAGUUGCUUGAUUAUCAUCUUUUCUUCAGCUUAAGUUCAAACGACAUGACACUAAGACCAAGGCAUUCCACAUCAUAUCUUACAAAAGAGUAAAGAAAACAACAUGACACACGCACACAGACACACACGCACACUCACGCAUACAUCAAUGUACCGGUGUCGUGGUUCUGUUUGCAGAAAGAACUGAAAAAUAAAAAGCGGACAAAGAGACGGAGGACAGAGUGAGAGGACGUGAGGAACCAGAUGAACCACCGGAGCCAAACUGGAGGAUUCUGUUGCAUAGAUUGAAGCAAACGGGAGGAUGUUUGAUCGAAACGCACAACAUGAGAGUGAAACACACACACACACACACACACAUACUUAGGGGGAAGCACAAGUUCUAUUUUGUUUCCCAAACAAACGGGCGUGAGCGACACCUUGCAGCCUGAAGACUUGAAGCUAAAUGCUAACGGUAGUUAUGCUAAUGGGGUGUUUGGCCGGUACAAAGGUCAACGGGUCCAAAGUCUUAGUUCAAACAACACGCAGCACAAACUACUUCAGAAAUAAAAUCAUGGACCUCGGGAGGGCGCUGGAGCAAAAGUCAGAAGGAUUCAUCAUCUGGGGAACACGAAUGUCUCCACAAACGCGACAAUACGUCAGAUUGCUGCAGAUGUUUGAGUGUGAAUUAAAGAAAUAAUUUCACUGGUUUGACAGUAAGUACAUACAGACGGUUGAUUUAAGAGGCUGCGUGGUCCCUGUGAACGUCUCCACGCACUUCAACGAGACGGCGGCCAUUUCUACAAAAAACGUCAAUUUUAACGCGCAUUUAACAUGUUCUGUUGUGCAGAUAUAUCAUUUGAAGAACGCUGCCGUGUUACAAACUGACUUGACUUGUCUGAAUCAAACGCUUUGUUAUCGCGCACUUUUCUUUAAAUACUCGGUUACGACAUUCUAUGAAAAAGAGAUAUGACAGUUUACUUAUUACCAUGGUGAGCAAGCAUGUGAGGAUGUUUAUUUCUUGUUUUUUGUGCUGUUUUAGACGUUGACUUCUCGAGGAGAUAAACAUUUAAUUAUUAAUUAGUUUUAACACCUGAGAGGGGAAACGUGUUUUUAUACUGUAUUUUUAAGCCAAAAUGGAACUUUUUCUGUCAAAUGAGAGGAUUUGUUGCUUUCAUUCUUCACGCAUGAAGAUAGACUGAAUGUUUUAGUUGCUGCUAUGUGCACUACCGGGGCAAGAUGUCCAAUCAGCCAACAUAUUGAUACGUGUACGGAUUGAUCUGUGACUAAGAAAACCAAAUAAACUCUGUUUUCCUAAAACCAGGAAGCAGCAGAGACUCUCUGCAGGAUGAUGGAUCACAGACAUCAAUGGAUGUGAUUGGUUAGAUGGUGACACGUGAUGACCUGAAGGUUUCAGGCCUGAUGUCUCCUCCUCCUCAGGUGAGCGAGUGAUGAGUUCAGGACAAUCAGUAAAUGUCAGAGUUUGUCCGUGCGCGUGUGUGUGUGUGUGUGUGUGUGUGUGUGUGUGUACGGUAGGAUGCAACUGUGAUGGAUGUUAUUCAGUUUCUGAAUAAAUGAGACAAUGAAAACAAAAGAAAAGAAGAAUCUUCCAUUUUUCAUCAAUCCAUCCAUCAGAAGUCACACGGUUUUAAUUUCCUCAGAGUGUUUCACCUCACAGUGUGAGUACAGAAGCGUCUGUGUGUGUCUGUGUGUGUGCAUGUGUGCAAUGUUGCACGUGUUUGGGGGCGAGUAUUUGUGAUUCAUUUGGUAAAAACAGGUCCACAUUUUUGGGAUGUUUCAUUUCAUACUAAAACAUGCAGAACACAGAACAUUGAACACGUAUACUUAACAGUUAGUUUUAUCCAAAUGCAGUUUCUCUUUUUGUUUUUUAUAUAUAUAUGUGUAUAUAUACACACAUAUUUUUAUAUAUAUAUAUAUAUAUAUAUAUAUAUAUAUAUAUAUAUAUAUAUAUAUACACACACACGUUUUCGCACAGAGUGGCUUUAGGCUACACAGAACACGACAGAACCAAUCGCACCAAUCGCAUGUUGGACAUAUUGCUUUAAACCACCAAAUUGUUGUAUAUAUGUCAUGCAUGCCACAUAGAUGAUAUUAUGUUUAUACAAAAAUAACACCAACAGCCUAUUACUGUGUAUCAGAGUAAUUACAGAAAACAAAUCUUUUUUCAGUCUUUUUUGCAGUUAAGUUCAACUGAGAAGCAAUAUACAUAUACACAUCGAUGUAUUUGUAUCCAAUAUACACACGCACGUGUAAUUAUACUAGAUAUAAAUACAUAGACAUGAUAGAUAUAUAUAUGUUGAGUGGUUAUGACUUUUUCAACUGUGAUAUUUCAGUUUGUUUUAAACUUUUUUCCCCUCCUUUUUCUGGGAUUGUUGAAGCGGACGUGACAGUUCUCCAAAGAGUCGCUUAAGAUCCGACAACAGGAAGCUGUUCUGAAGAAAAGAGGCGGCGCGGUCCAAAACAUCUGGAUGAGAGACGAGAGUCCCGCCUGCACAUGGCGGCCCGGUACUGUGAGGGCGACUCACCCGAGGGACAAUCUUAUCCAGGUGGGAGGACAUGGGGUGGGGGGGGAGGGGGGUGUGUGACUGCAAACUUUAUAAAAACAAAAGAACAACACUUUUGCAGAACAUCCUUAACGCUUUGCUGGGUGACGAUUGGCUGAUUGCUGCCCCUCCCAUUACCUGUCAGGCAGCAGCUGUUCAUCAGUUCAACCAAGAACAAAAACCAACGCGUCACCCACUGGAGCCAACGGGCGCACGGCGGGAAGAGGAAGUGAUGUCACGGCGGCGCUCUUUUCCAGGAAGGCUUCCGAAGCCGGCGGCGGUGGAAGGAUGUCAAUGACUCGCGGGCUCCGCCUCCUUUAAAUGUCCCUAUUUCAUGUCUAAAUAAAAGAAAUGUGGCGUCCUUUUGUUCUUUGGGCUGAAAUGAAACCGCCCCGGCCUUGAUAAACUCAAUUAGACCCCGCCCCCUGGACGUUGACAUGAGGACAAAUCCUUUCUACCGUUUAUCGUGAAUUUCUUCUGAAAGUCGUUUUCGUGGACUUCAUCCAACAUACUUUCUUCGCACGGGUCCACCUCAAAGACCCGGAGGGGGAUCAGAGCGACCCAUCGGCUCUGUGUGGUUCCUCAGGCUGUUCUCUCAACAGACCACGCCCCCUUCACGGAGAGGCGGGGCUUGAAGCCGUCAACCCUCAGUCCAUUCAUUCAAACAGAUCAGUCGUAGUCGCUUCAAAGUACAGAAACAAAGAAACCCUGGGCUCGGAUAGAUAAUUAUUCACUCCCAUUUAAUGGUCGAUACGGUUAUCUGCAUUCACGUUGCUUCAUCGGCUGCACUCUAAUGCCGAGCAGCGCGGAAUCACAUAGCGUGUAGUGUGUCACAACAUCUUAGAUAAAGUGAAUGAAAAGGGGGCUGAUGAGACUAGACGGUUGGGAUUCCAAUUGAGCGGCCGACAGGAAGUAAACAAGUCACUGCAGGUUUCUGAGCCCUAACGUCGGGUGACCAAGACAACACACGUGGCAUAAAUAUUAGAGAGCUGUAAAAAGAGAGUUAGUCCACGUUAGAUUCAUCUCAUUCAUGUACUGUACUGUCACCAAACUCUUCAGCCUAUACAUAUAUAUAUAUUCAUAUAUCUCCAAAAUAUUAAAAAGUACUUAAUAUAAAAAUACAGAAGAGUUGUAAAAAAUGAGCAAAACAUUGAGUUUUAUAUGAAAACCAUGCAAGAAAGAUUCCCCAUUCCUGUAGUAACUCUAAGACUCUGGAAAGCUAGGGAAUGAAAUGGGGGGGGGGGGGGGUCGAUUGAGAGAAGAGCUGGCGACUGCCACCAUCUUGCUUUUUCAUGUAAACAUUGUAGAGGUCCUUUAAACUCGGUUGCGGAGGGGCGCCUUGGGCUUUCCU